Molecule: ribosomal RNA, 483 nt
Filed under: uncultured bacterium
Lineage: Bacteria
Description: partial 16S ribosomal RNA
Rfam family: Bacterial small subunit ribosomal RNA
Source: RNAcentral
AUUGAACGCUGGCGGCAUGCUUUACACAUGCAAGUCGAACGGCAGCGCGGGCUUCGGCCUGGCGGCGAGUGGCGAACGGGUGAGUAAUGCAUCGGAACGUGCCAGUAGUGGGGGGUAGCCCGGCGAAAGCCGGAUUAAUACCGCAUACGACCUGAGGGUGAAAGCGGGGGACCGAAAGGCCUCGCGCUAUUGGAGCGGCCGAUGUCGGAUUAGCUAGUUGGUGGGGUAAAGGCUUACCAAGGCGACGAUCCGUAGCUGGUCUGAGAGGACGACCAGCCACACUGGGACUGAGACACGGCCCAGACUCCUACGGGAGGCAGCAGUGGGGAAUUUUGGACAAUGGGGGCAACCCUGAUCCAGCCAUGCCGCGUGCGGGAAGAAGGCCUUCGGGUUGUAAACCGCUUUUGUUCGGGAAGAAAUCCUCUGGGCUAAUACCCCGGGGGGAUGACGGUACCGGAAGAAUAAGCACCGGCUAACUACGUG